RNAcentral lists this transfer RNA (74 nucleotides) under Vicugna pacos (alpaca). Its description in RNAcentral is "tRNA-Ile (AAT) (tRNA-Ile-AAT-17-1)". It matches the Rfam family "tRNA". From Rfam's summary of the family: Transfer RNA (tRNA) molecules are approximately 80 nucleotides in length. Their secondary structure includes four short double-helical elements and three loops (D, anti-codon, and T loops). Further hydrogen bonds mediate the characteristic L-shaped molecular structure. tRNAs have two regions of fundamental functional importance: the anti-codon, which is responsible for specific mRNA codon recognition, and the 3' end, to which the tRNAs corresponding amino acid is attached (by aminoacyl-tRNA synthetases). tRNAs cope with the degeneracy of the genetic code in two manners: having more than one tRNA (with a specific anti-codon) for a particular amino acid; and 'wobble' base-pairing, i.e. permitting non-standard base-pairing at the 3rd anti-codon position. The record is from RNAcentral. Lineage: Eukaryota; Metazoa; Chordata; Mammalia; Artiodactyla; Camelidae.
GGAAGGGUAUAGCUCAGUGGUAGAGCACAUGCUUAAUAUGCACAAGGUCCUGGGUUCAAUCCCCAGUACCUCCA